CCUACGGGAGGCAGCAGUGAGGAAUAUUGGUCAUUGGACGAGAGUCUGAACCAGCCAAGUAGCGUGAAGGAUGACUGCCCUAUGGGUUGUAAACUUCUUUUAUAUGGGAAUAAAAUGUUCCACGUGUGGGAUUUUGUAUGUACCAUAUGAAUAAGGAUCGGCUCACUCCGUGCCAGCAGCCGCGGUAAUACGGAGGAUCCGAGCGUUAUCCGGAUUUAUUGGGUUUAAAGGGAGCGUAGGUGGAUUGUUAAGUCAGUUGUGAAAGUGUGCGGCUCAACCGUAAAAUUGCAGUUGAAACUGGAAGUCUUGAGUACAGAAGAGGUGGGCGGAAUUCGUGGUGUAGCGGUGAAAUGCUUAGAUAUCACGAAGAACUCCGAUUGCGAAGGCAGCUCACUGGACUGCAACUGACACUGAGGCUCGAAAGUGUGGGUAUCAAACAGGAUUAGAUACCCGGGUAGUC
RNAcentral lists this ribosomal RNA (460 nucleotides) under uncultured bacterium. RNAcentral describes it as "partial 16S ribosomal RNA". It matches the Rfam family "Bacterial small subunit ribosomal RNA", at positions 338 to 795 of the family's 1533-position model. The record is from RNAcentral.